This 524-nucleotide ribosomal RNA is filed under the name uncultured bacterium. Its description in RNAcentral is "partial 16S ribosomal RNA". It matches the Rfam family "Bacterial small subunit ribosomal RNA", at positions 355 to 895 of the family's 1533-position model. The record is from RNAcentral.
UGGGGAAUAUUGGACAAUGGGCGCAAGCCUGAUCCAGCAAUGCCGCGUGAGUGAUGAAGGCCUUAGGGUUGUAAAGCUCUUUCGCACGCGACGAUGAUGACGGUAGCGUGAGAAGAAGCCCCGGCUAACUUCGUGCCAGCAGCCGCGGUAAUACGAAGGGGGCUAGCGUUGUUCGGAAUUACUGGGCGUAAAGGGCGCGUAGGCGGCCUGUUUAGUCAGAAGUGAAAGCCCCGGGCUCAACCCGGGAAUAGCUUUUGAUACUGGCAGGCUUGAGUUCCGGAGAGGAUGGUGGAAUUCCCAGUGUAGAGGUGAAAUUCGUAGAUAUUGGGAAGAACACCGGUGGCGAAGGCGGCCAUCUGGACGGACACUGACGCUGAGGCGCGAAAGCGUGGGGAGCAAACAGGAUUAGAUACCCUGGUAGUCCACGCCCGUAAACGAUGAAUGCUAGACGUCGGGGUGCAUGCACUUCGGUGUCGCCGCUAACGCAUUAAGCAUUCCGCCUGGGGGAGUACGGCCGCAAGGUU